CCUACGGGUGGCAGCAGUGAGGAAUAUUGGUCAAUGGACGAGAGUCUGAACCAGCCAAGUAGCGUGAAUGAUGACUGCCCUAUGGGUUGUAAACUUCUUUUAUAUGGGAAUAAAAUGUUCCACGUGUGUGAUUUUGUAUGUACCAUAUGAAUAAGGAUCGGCUAACUUCGUGCCAUCAGCCGCGGUAAUACGGAGGAUCCGAGCGUUGUCCGGAUUUAUUUGGUUUAAAGGGAGAGUAGGUGGAUUGUUAAGUCAGAUGUGAAAGUUUGCGGCUCAACCGUAAAAGUGCAGUUGAAACUGGCAGACUUGAGUACAGGAGAGGUGGGGGGAAUUCGUGGUGUAGCGGUGAAAUGCUUAGAUAUAACGAAGAACUCCGAUUGCGAAGGCAGCUCACUGGACUGCAACUGACGCUGAGGCUCGAAAGUGUGGGUAUCAAACAGGAUUAGAUACCCUUGUAGUC
This 460-nucleotide ribosomal RNA is filed under the name uncultured bacterium. Its description in RNAcentral is "partial 16S ribosomal RNA". It matches the Rfam family "Bacterial small subunit ribosomal RNA", at positions 338 to 795 of the family's 1533-position model. The record is from RNAcentral.